GCGGAUUUGGUCCGGUCGGAUUCCUUUUCUCCCUUUUUCCAUAAAAACUGUUUAGGAGACGCACCGCGAGCCGAUUCUUUACUUUCUGUUUCUACAUACAUAAUGCAUACACCAACCCAGCAACAAACAAAUAAACCAAAAAAACAAAAACAAUAUUAAUUUAUCUGUAAAAAUUUCCCUUGAAUUUGCUGUUGACCUCUUUCUCCAUUGAUUUUUUUUCUCAACGGGAACUGAUGUCGCCGCUGCUGCUGCUUUUGACUUGAUCAGCAUAACCAAGGCGUGUUUACAAAAGAAGAAUGAUAAAGUUAAAAAGACUAAAAGUUGAUGCUUUGGAAAAUAAAGGAAGUGUUUAGCCUCUGGGAGGAGGACUGUAUACAACACUAAGUUUAAGCCAUAAUCAAGCUACAAUACCAGCAAGAAGUGGCAGGAAAAUAAUAGUUAAGAAAGCAUCGCUAUAUUUCAAUUCCUUGCAAAUUACAAGAAAGAGAAGAAACUAUUGCAGUAAGUGAGCUCACCUUCUAUUUGAGGUUUACUGGGAAAUAUGGUGCAAGCCGUUGAACAUAACGGCGUGCUCGAGAUAGCUCAAAGUGAGCACAAAAAAUCAAAAACAACAAAGAAAAGUAAGGGAGAUGGGAGGCAGGGCAAGAAUCACACUGGUCAAAACUCGCAGAAAUCAAAGGGAAAAAGCUCCAUUCCUACAGGCCCUAUCUCCUUGAAAGUUAAAUUUGGUUCACGUAGCCUGAUGGAUGUUGUUCCUCUUAUUGAUGAUCACAUCAACAAACAGAGUACUUCUGGAGAAGAAUCUAAAGAAUCUCCAAAUGUUACCAGAAAUUUUGAUGAUGGGUUGGAGGCAGAGUUGCCCAGUCUGCAGUUCCCCAGGCACAAUGGAAAUUUGGAUAAUGUGUUUGUUUCUGUCUCCGACAUACGCCAAUCUGGAAAGAACAUCGGUCACGAUCCAGUGGACAAGAUUUUGAACUUUCACCAUGGGUCACCUUCUCAGGAGGGGACAUCAGUUAAUAACAGGUGCACAGAUUCUGGAACUUCUCCUGACUCAGAAGUUAUCAACCUCGUUCCGGAUACUCAAAUUAAUGAGGGAGACCCAGAAGAGUUGAGUGAUUUAAUCCUGUGUAGGUCAUCUGUUGCUCCUGGGAAUGUUCCGAGUUUGCGUGUGUAUGACAGGAGCAAGAAAGGAAGGAAAAAAGAUAGACUCCCACAGUUUGCCAGUUCUGAUUCGAAAGAUCUGCUUAGUUCAGAUACUAUGAGCAAUUUUCAAAUAUUUGGUCAACUCAUCCAAGGAGAAAAGGUACAAGAGGGCUCUUGUUAUGCUGAUACUUCUGCAUUAACAAUAGGUAGGAUUGGCUCAGGCAACAUAUCUUGCACUGAGAUUAUUUCAGGGGAACUGUUACCUUGUUCAGGAAUGGCUGACUUCAAUAUAUCCUGUGCUGCUUCAAAGCUUGGAAGUGGCAUAGAGGGUAAUGUUGGUUCUAUCGUUGGCACCGAGUCACCAGAAACUGAAUUGUCUGAAAAAGUGGUAUCCUGUCAAGAUGGACAAAUUGUUUCCAAAUGUGAAAGAUCAAAUUUUUCUGGCAAAGGCAGGUCACAGGUCCCGGAUACGAAGUCAUCCAAAAGUAGGGGAAGUGCUUCUAAAAAGAAGGGAAACAAAGAAAAGCAAGAUAAUAAACGUGAAGUGAAACAUGAGAAUGGCCAAGUCGAGAGUUUAUCUGAGGUGAAACACCACCCAGGAACAGAAAACGAAGCACCAUACGGGUUUGGAGAAGUUGGAUCCAGAAAUAAAACCUUAAGUGGAGGCAUUUCGGACUUGGACAUCAUGCGGAAUGAGGUGAGUCGGCCUUCUUUACAGCCAAGAAAUGCCUGGGUGCAGUGUGAUGAUUGCCAGAAAUGGAGGCGUAUAGCUUCUGUACUUGCUGAUCAAAUUGAAGAAACAAACUGCAAAUGGACUUGCAAGGAUAAUUUGGAUAGAGACGUGGCUGAUUGCUCGAUUGCACAAGAAAAGUCAAAUUCAGAAAUUAAUGCUGAGCUGGAAAUAUCAGAUGCCUCUGGUGAGGAAGAUGCCCUCGGUAGACGCUUGAAUUCAAAUCAAGCAGGACAGAAGAAGGCACUUGUUCCUGAUCAAUCGUCUUGGACUCUCAUCAAGAAAAACUCAUUCCUGCAUCGUAGCCGCAAAAGUCAACCUAUUGAUGAGAUCAUGGUCUGCCAUUGCAAGCCUUCUGACCGCCGAAUGGGAUGUGGAGAUGGAUGCCUGAAUAGGAUGCUCAACGUUGAGUGUGUUCGGGGGACUUGUCCAUGUGGAGAACGCUGUUCGAAUCAGCAGUUCCAGAAACGUAACUAUGCUAAAUUGAAGUGCUUCAAAUGUGGAAAGAAGGGUUACGGCCUGCAGCUUCUUGAGGAUGUCACCCAAGGGCAGUUUCUUAUUGAAUAUGUUGGGGAGGUGUUGGACUUGCAUGCAUAUGAGGCCAGACAAAAGGAGUAUGCCCUAAAGGGUCAUAAGCAUUUUUAUUUCAUGACACUUAAUGGCAGUGAGGUAAUAGAUGCUUGUGCUAAAGGGAAUUUGGGACGUUUCAUUAAUCAUAGCUGUGAUCCUAAUUGCUGUACAGAAAAGUGGAUGGUCAAUGGAGAGGUUUGCGUUGGACUCUUUGCUUUAAGGGAUAUCAAAAAGGGUGAGGAGGUUACAUUUGAUUACAAUUACGUGCGCGUCUUCGGGGCUGCAGCGAAGAAAUGUGUCUGUGGCUCACCUAGCUGUCGGGGCUACAUAGGUGGAGAUCUACUGAAUGAAGAAGUGAUAGUUCAGGCUGAUUCAGAUGAUGACUACCCUGAACCCAUUGUUUUCUGCGAAGAUGGUGACAUGGAUGAUGAACUAAACAAAAUUCUAUCUGUAAGAAGUUCAUUUGAUGUCACAGAAAUUAGAAGUCAAGGGGAAACACCUAAAAACAAAUAUAAACUGGGUGAACCUUUUACCGGAAACCUGGAGAAUACCAGCCAAACACCCACAGGGAAUAUAAUGGAACAAGAAAAUGUCAGCAAGGAUAACUCUGUUGUCGCUUUUAACAUGAAGAUCAAGGACGAAAGCAACAAAAUCCAUAAUGAAUCUCCAUCGUUUCUGAAGAAGCUGGAAUCAUCUGAGGCAAUGAAGGGGCUAGAAGGCCUGUUGCAUUCUUCUGUACGACCUGUGGGAAAUUCCUUCCAGUCGGAAGAUGUAACCACUAAAACCAUAUCUGAAGUCAAAAGUGAGUGCUUAGAUGCUGACAAAGUUUCUUCUGCACUGCCAUCUCCCAAUGCUAUGCUUAGCAAGUCUUUGACGAAGAAAUCAGGCAAUGGGGGAGCCAGUGAUGAAUUGUCAAAAUCUUCUCGUCGAUCAUCUUCAGUUAAAAAGGGAAAAUUGAAGGAUAGUACUGUAAAUUUAAUAUCUGUACCUGAUGUGAACAACAAAUUGCAAAUUCCACAACCUAAAUUGAAGAAACCAACACAUGAUUCCACAAAUGGUCGUUUUGAAGCAGUUGAAGUGAAGCUUAAUGAAUUGCUGGAUCAUGAUGGUGGAAUAAGCAAACGCAGGGAUGCAUCUAGGUGCUACCUGAAGCUUCUCCUUUUAACUGCUGCUUCAGGGGAUAGCUGCAAUGGUGAAGCUAUUCAGAGUAACCGGGAUCUUUCUAUGAUCCUUGAUGCGCUUUUGAAGACCAAGUCGCGCACUGUUUUGGUGGAUAUUAUUAACAAGAAUGGCUUGCAGAUGUUACACAACAUAAUGAAACGAUAUCGGAGGGAAUUCAACAAGAUCCCAAUUCUCAGAAAGUUGCUUAAGGUUUUAGAGUAUCUGGCUGUGAGAGAGAUUCUUUCGCAUGAGCACAUUAAUGGAGGUCCCUCUAGACCAGGAGUUGAGAGCUUUAGGGACUCAAUUUUGAGAUUGACAGAUCACACAAACAAGCAGGUUCAUCAAAUUGCAAGGAACUUCAGAGAUAGGUGGAUACGUAAACCUCUCCGAAAAAGGAGCUGCAUUGACAGAGAUGACAGCCAGAUUGACGUGCAUCCUUGUCCACAGUCAAAUAGGUGUUCACCAUUACAAGACCAUUGUGGUGUGAAACCUUCAGAAACAGAAGAAUGUACCUGGCAUUUAAUGGGAGAAUCUACUACGACAGAUGCUGGUGUCCGUGAUGGCUCAUCUACUUCAUGUGUUGUUGGGGCACCUAAUAGGGAAAGGAAACGUAAACGUAAGAGUCGAUGGGAUCAAGAGGCCAAAUUAAAUUUAGAUCAAAGAAUUGAAACCAAUGCCGCUGAUGAUCGAAAGCAGGACAUAGAUGAUGUUCCCCCUGGGUUUUCAGUCCCCAUGAAGGUUCCUAGAAUCUCAUGCAGUGCUUCUUCAAGUGCAGAUUGUAGUCUCCAAGAACCUAGUUACAAGAAGCAUCCACAUCCAAUGGUCACAGGGCAUUUGCAGCAGAAGUUUAUAUCACGAUUGCCUGUCUCCUAUGGAAUUCCACUUUCCAAAGUGCUGCAGUUUGGGUCACCUCAAAAAGAAAGACGUGAUGCUUGGGAUGUUGCCCCAGGAGUGCCUUUUCAUCCUUUUCCUCCUUUGCCUACGUAUCCCUGUGAUAGACGAGAUCUUAUAUCUUGUGCAGAUAAAGCUGGAAUUUUUCACGAGCCACCUCAAAAUCCUGGACAAGAUCGUCAUUCUUGUUCUCCGGGCCACCCUGCUCAGAAUCCUCCAUGCCUAUCUGGGUCAAGCCUCCCGCAAGUCUCUGUAAAUACCCAAUUUGAUGUUGAACGUGUUAGGGGCUGUCAUAACUUGGGAAACAAAUAUUUUCGGCAGCAGAAGUGUAUUAAUUCAGAAAAGCCUUCGUGGCAUAGGGGAAGAAGUAGCUGGGGGUGCACAGGAAACAACUCAAAAGAUAGCAUGUGCAGUGUAGAUGUAGCAAGCAGAAAGGAUGAAUCUAGGAGUUUCCCUAUCGAUAGGAUGGAGAAUUUGGGGCAUACUUUUCAACAGAAUCAUUCACAACAAACAUAGUUUAACUUCCAUAGCUGAAAGCCCCCAGGAGCUUCAAAGUUUUUCUCCAGUGCUCCUUUGAACUGAUAAUUCUUUGCCACCAACAGAAUUGUAAAGCACUUAUUCUGUUUUGGGGGGUUUGAGUCCAUAAUUCUUUUUUCCUUUUUUGUUGUUGUUGUUUAGGUUUAGGAAAAAAAAAAAGAGAGAGACUCUGAUUCUGACGUGUGCUGCAUUGGCAAUAUUGUUAUUCAUGCCUCACAGAGUUGCUGCUGUGCCGAACUGUGUUCCUGAUCUGGUUUCUGGCGUUUUGCUGUUGUGGAAAUGUAUGCUUUUUACCUUGAAACUGAUCCUGCUUCAUGCAUUUUAGAAGUAUAUGAUCUCAGUUGCAAUCGUUUUUUACUUUUUUGUUCAGAACACAUUCUAAUGCUUCUUGAACAAAUUGUUCAGUUACACUAGUGAAAAAGGGACAGAGAGAGAGAAAGGUCUCUUGCUAAACUUUUCCUUCUGUCUGUACUCGCAGCUGGAUAACUUGAUUAGAGAUUGUUCGU
Molecule: RNA transcript, 5538 nt
Organism: Capsicum annuum
Lineage: Eukaryota; Viridiplantae; Streptophyta; Magnoliopsida; Solanales; Solanaceae
Gene name: histone-lysine N-methyltransferase ASHH2
Exons: 19
Source: RefSeq, a predicted model, not a curated record